Molecule: ribosomal RNA, 429 nt
Filed under: uncultured archaeon
Lineage: Archaea
Description: bacterial SSU rRNA
Rfam family: Archaeal small subunit ribosomal RNA
Source: RNAcentral
UACCUGCAGCUCAAGUGGUGGCCGUUAUUAUUGGGCCUAAAACGUCCGUAGCCGGUUUAUUAAAUGCCUGGGUAAAUCGGGCCGCUUAACGGUUCGAAUUCCGGGUAGACUGAUAGACUUGGGACCGGGAGAAGCUAGAGGUACUCCUGGGGUAGAGGUGAAAUUCUGUAAUCCUAGGGGGACCACCAGUGGCGAAGGCGUCUAGCUAGAACGGGUCUGACGGUGAGGGACGAAGCCCUGGGGCGCAAACCGGAUUAGAUACCCGGGUAGUCCAGGGUGUAAACGCUGCUUGCUUGAUGUUAGUCGGGCUCCGAGCCCGAUUAGUGUCGGAGAGAAGUUGUUAAGCAAGCUGCCUGGGAAGUACGGCCGCAAGACUGAAACUUAAAGGAAUUGGCGGGGGAGCACAGCAACGGGUGGAGCGUGCGGUUU